RNAcentral lists this ribosomal RNA (254 nucleotides) under uncultured bacterium. RNAcentral describes it as "partial 16S ribosomal RNA". It matches the Rfam family "Bacterial small subunit ribosomal RNA", at positions 524 to 776 of the family's 1533-position model. The record is from RNAcentral.
UACGGGGGGAGCAAGCGUUGUUCGGAUUUACUGGGCGUAAAGGGCGCGUAGGCGGCCACUGCAAGUCAGUUGUGAAAUCUCCGGGCUUAACUCGGAAAGGUCAACUGAUACUGCAGGGCUAGAGUGCAGAAGGGGCAACUGGAAUUCUCGGUGUAGCGGUGAAAUGCGUAGAUAUCGAGAGGGACACCUGCGGCGAAGGCGGGUUGCUGGGCUGACACUGACGCUGAAGCGCGAAAGCCAGGGGAGCGAACGGG